AAAUGCUCACUCAGUUUGCAUUAGACUGCCUACGAGAACAGACGUCAUUUAUCUGCCGAUUCGCUCAAAACCAGAGCACAGGGGUUUGUAUAUGACACCGAGACACCGUUGUGUCCUCUAAUCUUCUCACGAUCUGAACCAGAGUUUGUCAUUUUUUAUAAAGAUAACAAAGAAAAAUGAAGAUCUUAAGUAACUUAACGAGUAAGCCAAGUGAAGUAAAUGCCGAAGAAGGUAUUUUUCAGAUUUCUCGACGACUGGAGGCUGUAGAUGAAGAAAACUGCUGGGCCAGCUGUGCCUGGCAGUUGAUCAAGCUCUCCGGAGCAAUCGUUGUCGUCACAUUGGUUGGAUUUGUCAUACCUUUUUUGAUGUUUGCCGCUUUUCAACAAAUAUGAUGGGACGUUAAAAUAAAAUGUAAAUUUAAUACACCUGUAAAUAUUAAUUGGAAUAAACCAAAUGUAAAUCUUAA
Cimex lectularius (bed bug) is the source of this 466-nucleotide long non-coding RNA. RefSeq lists it as uncharacterized. The record is from RefSeq and is a predicted model, not a curated record. The transcript is spliced from 2 exons. Lineage: Eukaryota; Metazoa; Arthropoda; Insecta; Hemiptera; Cimicidae.